This 250-nucleotide unclassified non-coding RNA is filed under the name plant metagenome. RNAcentral describes it as "partial contains small subunit ribosomal RNA, internal transcribed spacer 1, and 5.8S ribosomal RNA". The record is from RNAcentral.
GUAGGUGAACCUGCGGAAGGAUCAUUAACACGUAUCCACGUUAAACCCCCCGUGCACGUUGAGGAGGACAGACGUCAGGCAUUAUCAGUUUAUACGCACCCUAUGCCUUGAUUCGGAAACGAGUCAAGGCGACGUGCAGUGGCUGGUGCGCUGAUUCGUUUCUGUUCCGGUUUUAGCGAGGCCUAGCUCAGCGAAAGCUGGGUUAUAGGAAUUAGCGGACCGGUUCUGAGAAACUCGAAGGGCUUCCAGG